CUUAAAGGAAGUUGACGGGGCCCGCACAAGCGGUGGAGUAUGUGGUUAAUUCGAUGCAACGCGAGGAACCUUACCUGGUCUUGACAUCCCGGAGACCCUUAGGAAACUAGGGGGUGCUUCCAUCUGGAAGAAUCUGGAGACAGGUGCUGCAUGGCUGUCGUCAGCUCGUGUCGUGAGAUGUUGGGUUAAGUCCCGCAACGAGCGCAACCCUUGCCUUUAGUUGCCAGCAGUUCGGCUGGGCACUCUAAAGGGACUGCCGGUGUUAAACCGGAGGAAGGUGGGGAUGACGUCAAGUCCUCAUGGCCUUUAUGACCAGGGCUACACACGUACUACAAUGGCCGAUACAAAGGGCAGCGACACUGCGAGGUGAAGCCAAUCCCGUAAAAUCGGUCUCAGUCCGGAUUGGAGUCUGCAACUCGACUCCAUGAAGUUGGAAUCGCUAGUAAUCGUGGAUCAGCAUGCCACGGUGAAUACGUUCCCGGGCCUU
Molecule: ribosomal RNA, 487 nt
Filed under: uncultured Desulfobulbus sp.
Lineage: Bacteria; Pseudomonadati; Thermodesulfobacteriota; Desulfobulbia; Desulfobulbales; Desulfobulbaceae
Description: bacterial SSU rRNA
Rfam family: Bacterial small subunit ribosomal RNA
Source: RNAcentral